Molecule: long non-coding RNA, 423 nt
Organism: Pistacia vera
Lineage: Eukaryota; Viridiplantae; Streptophyta; Magnoliopsida; Sapindales; Anacardiaceae
Exons: 2
Source: RefSeq, a predicted model, not a curated record
AUUGUUCAUUGUUUUUAAUUACAAUGCAGCUACUGGUACAAUUUUGAUUCCAACUUCUGGAGUGCGGUGUACAAGCACACCUAUGGCAAAGACUUCAAAUUCAAAGCUGGUUAUGACUCAGAGGCGCGUCUAGGCUGGGCAUCUCUCUGGGUCGGAGACGAAGUGGGCAAGGCAAAGACAGCGCCAAUGAAGAUGAAAGUCCAGUUUAUGCUCCAAGUGCCACAAGAUGACAUCAAAUCAUCGGCAUUAAUGUUCCGUGUUAAAAAGAGGUGGGAUAUAUAGAGACAAUAUUAGUGGGACAACUACCUUUUCCUCCAUAUCUAAAAUGUGGCUCCUAUAUGGUAAUGGGACAUGUCCCAUUGUAAGUAAUGAUGCUUAUUGCUACAUAUAAUGACAUUAAUUGUUGUUUCCAUCUUCAAAUAA